UCAGGAUGAACGCUAGCGGCAGGCUUAACACAUGCAAGUCGAGGGGCAGCGCGGGGUAGCAAUACCCUGGCGGCGACCGGCGGAAGGGUGCGUAACACGUGAGCGACUUGCCCGAUACAGGGAGAUAACCGGUGGAAACGCCGACUAAUAUCCCAUACGACUAGAGGCUGCAUGGCCUUGAGUUGAAAGGUUCGCCGGUAUCGGAUAGGCUCGCGGGACAUUAGCUUGAUGGCGGGGCAACGGCCCACCAUGGCGACGAUGUCUAGGGGUUCUGAGAGGAAGACCCCCCACACUGGGACUGAGACACGGCCCAGACUCCUACGGGAGGCAGCAGUGAGGAAUAUUGGUCAAUGGGCGGAAGCCUGAACCAGCCAUGCCGCGUGAAGGACUAAGGCCCUAUGGGUCGUAAACUUCUUUAGACGCAGAGCAAUAAGGGCCUCGCGAGGUCCGAUGAGAGUAUGCGUAGAAUAAGCAUCGGCUAACUCCGUGCCAGCAGCCGCGGUAAUACGGGGGAUGCGAGCGUUAUCCGGAUUUAUUGGGUUUAAAGGGUGCGUAGGCGGCGAAUUAAGUCAGCGGUGAAAGACCGGGGCUCAACCCUGGAAGUGCCGUUGAUACUGAUUGGCUAGAAUACCCUUGCCGUGGGAGGAAUGAGUGGUGUAGCGGUGAAAUGCAUAGAUAUCACUCAGAACACCGAUUGCGAAGGCAUCUCACGAAGGGGCGAUUGACGCUGAGGCACGAAAGCGUGGGGAUCGAACAGGAUUAGAUACCCUGGUAGUCCACGCAGUAAACGAUGAUGGCUAACUGUCGGGCCUGCGGGUUCGGCGGCCAAGCGAAAGCGAUAAGCCAUCCACCUGGGGAGUACGACCGCAAGGUUGCAACUCAA
Molecule: ribosomal RNA, 883 nt
Filed under: uncultured Bacteroidota bacterium
Lineage: Bacteria; Pseudomonadati; Bacteroidota
Description: bacterial SSU rRNA
Rfam family: Bacterial small subunit ribosomal RNA
Source: RNAcentral